CCUACGGGAGACAGCAGUGAGGAAUAUUGGUCAAUGGACGAGAGUCUGAACCAGCCAAGUAGCGUGAAGGAUGACUGCCCUAUGGGUUGUAAACUUCUUUUAUAAAGGAAUAAAACGAGGCACGUGUGCCUUUUUGCAUGUACUUUAUGAAUAAGGAUCGGCUAACUCCGUGCCAGCAGCCGCGGUAAUACGGAGGAUCCGAGCGUUAUCCGGAUUUAUUGGGUUUAAAGGGAGCGUAGAUGGGUUGUUAAGUCAGUUGUGAAAGUUUGCGGCUCAACCGUAAAAUUGCAAUUGAUACUGGCAGUCGUGAGUACAGUUGAGGUAGGCGGAAUUCGUGGUGUAGCGGUGAAAUGCUUAGAUAUCACGAAGAACCCCGAGUGCGAAGGCAGCUUACUAAACUGUGACUGACAUUGAUGCUCGAAAGUGUGGGUAUCAAACAGGAUUAGAUACCCUAGUAGUC
This 460-nucleotide ribosomal RNA is filed under the name uncultured bacterium. Its description in RNAcentral is "partial 16S ribosomal RNA". It matches the Rfam family "Bacterial small subunit ribosomal RNA", at positions 338 to 795 of the family's 1533-position model. The record is from RNAcentral.